GCAGUUAGAAACAAACUUUAUUGUUGCAGUUUGAAAUUAUUUACACAAUAUAAAUCUCUUUGAAAGGUACAUUACUUCAUUUAAUCAGUGGUAGAAGGCCUUAUAAUAGCUUCAAUAACAUUUAGUUCAAAAGAAAUACAAUUUCACUCCAAUGGAUAAAUGAUUCAUCUAAACUUCACAACAUACAAGAAGGGUCAUGGGGACUUUUGAAGGGAUGACAGUGCUGGAAGAUGACAAACACUUACUUGUAAAUUGAGCUUAUUUUAUUCACAGGACAUGAAUGGACUCAUGUUUAGAAGAACACUGAAAAAUAUGCAGUAACAAAAAAAAAAAAAAAAGACACAAAAGAGAAUAUAUCCCUAAUAUGCUAUGGCCCAGUUUCUGCAAGUAAAGGGUUUUAGAUAGUUGGAUCAAGAGGCUUGAGACAGAACCAAUCAAUCUAACUUUUAAAUCAUAUUUUAAAAAGAUUGGAUACAUUCUUGGUGCUGAGACUAUUCAAAGCACUUGUGUACAAAGCAGCAUUAUUAACUACCACAGACUGCAUUUGAGAUACAAAAUGUUAAAAGGAACAUUUCUACCAAAAAAAUUAUAAUCUUUCACACAUUGAAGAUGUGACACCUACCAUUUUCUGAUAACAAGAAUUACUAUUAGCAAAAGCUUAGAAACAUAGACUUUUUUCCAGUUCACGCUGCAUUUUGUACAGUAUUUUUCAUGUUUCUCUUCCAUGGUCUCUCUUACCUUGUGCUUUGCACGGAUCUUUAUGUGGGGAAAAAAACAUUUAACAUAGGAAAAAUGCAGCUGCAAUACCACAAAACCAGGCUGGUGCGGUACCUGAAGUUAUUUCUCAUUUAUGAAGUUAUUUAUUUUAUGAAGUUAUUUCAGCAUUUAUUUUCAAAGUUUGGCAGAUUUCAAGUAACUUAAAUUCGCUUUCUAAAUGUUCACUCGACUUAUUUCCAACCAAGUUUUCUCUGCAUAAUCUCCAUAAACAUCACAUCAAACUCAUUUGGGAAGGCCAUGAAUUAAGUUCCUCACCACAGGGAACCCAAGACAGCAGCUCAACAAUUUUAGGCAGCUACAGAAACAGCUGAUGUAAAACAUCAAACCAGAAGUUUGGUCAUCUAGUGAAGCCUGGCACCUGUUCUAAGGCCAUAAAUGGGCUUCAGGGCCAUUCCAACUAGUUUUCUGACAUUACACAAUAAUAAAACCCUUUAUCAGCAAGAAUGGUGCAGACUACCACCGAUACACAGAAAAAAGCCCAACACACACUUAAGGGUUGCAAAUUAACUACACAAGGGUUUGCGUUUUUUAAAUAAUCUUUUGGAACAUUUCUUCUCUCUCCCCCCAGGUUGACUGGUUUCCGAAUCACAGAGCUUACCAUCUCUAAAGGUCAGACCGAAUUGGAAUAGCCACUUAAAAAUAAACAAACAACGCUUUUUCCAGUGUCUCAUCCCAACACUUAGAUGGAGCACCUCCAUGCAAUGGCAUGUGCAAACAUUCCACACCAGAGGUCCGUAAGCCACAGUUUGGUUCCAUUCAACAUGUCCCAUCUGGAUUUGUGUGGUUUCUCACUGCCACAAGCCUCCUUCUUAAAAGUUUUGUGGCUGGCUAAUGGAAAUCCUACCUUGUACAAGACCAAAUGUUUUUGGCUUUUUAUAUCUUUUACAACUAAUGAAAACAAUCAGCUUCCAGCCCACAGAAAUAAAAUGGGGGGAGGCAGGGGGAAGGUGUAAGUAUUAGCUGCAAUUCUGCUCAACAUCGGCCUUGCAUUACCUCAAGGUUUGGUCAAAUGCUUCUGUUCUACUACUACAGUUGCAACCUGCAUGGAGUGGAAGAGAUGAUAGGAGACAGUAGCUAAUUCCAGUGGUUUAGUAAUCUAGCACACCUUAGAAGGCAUCCAAGAACACAGUAAACAAUACAAAAACAUGGAGACAAAUCAAGACUAGACAGCCACCUCAAACACAGACAGGUGAGAUGUGGCAAACCUCCUCUGCAAACUGCAGGAAGGACUAUCUCAAGCAAGAGAUACAUUCCACUGGGCUAUGGAGCAAACUUAUUUAAUCAGAGUUACCAAAAUUUGUUUGAAGACUUCUAUUUGGGAGGAGUAACAAAAGGUUAUUCUGUAAGCUUCUGUUAGAUACCAAAGGCUUUAAAAAAAAAAAAAAAAAAAAAAAGUCUGAACUUCAUUUUGAAACAAAUAUUACCCUUUGCAAUUCGCUCUAAUCCUUAAAACAUGCAAGCAAACAAGCAUAUCCAAUACCUUGCUACAUCAGAAACUUAAGCUUGGAUUUCCUUGUGAAUUAUUUCCUUUUACUUACAUUUACUGGGCCCAUCCUUCCUCUUGACUAAUCUUUAAUAAACUCACUUCCCAGGACCCUAGUAACUUAAAACAUCAACAUUGAUAAGCAUGUGUACCUGUCAUCUGGUGCAGGUAAAGCUGACAGGGUGCUCGAACUGUAUCAAGAUCCAUCUGUCAGACAAUGAGACUUUCACAUCAGUAUUUUUCAGCAGUUACUAAACACAGCAGUGACAAGAAUAAACUAAGAGCUUUAAGGGUCCUAUGGACUUCAAAAUGGACAGUGAAAGGCAACAGUAAUUAAAUAUAGUUAGGAAUUUGGGGAAAACUAUGCUUCAUUAUGUCUAUGCUUCCAAGAUUAAAGGCCUCUUCAGAAAGGGACUUCCUACACAAAAAAAAAAAAAAAAAAAAAAUCUGAUGAGAAGUCACAUACUGACAAAACAGAAGAGUUUUCAAAAAGGAAAUAGUGACGAUUACGUACAGAAAGGAACCUUUUCUAUCCAUGUGUCCCCUAACGAUGAAAGGUGUGGGCACAGAGAGGAGGACGAAGGAGUGGCACACAAGGAAAACACCUAGGUUAAGUUUCAAGUAGUCUAAAGGGGCUACCAAUAAGCCUAGUGCGGAAGAAAACAUGGCAGAACUAUUUUAGUGAUUUGGGCAUUUAUCAUAAGCAUUUACAAGUUAACAACUCACCCUAUUAUAAGGCUAUAUCCACCAAAAACCUUUUAAGUUGGGGGACUUCUAUCACAACUAACUCAAUUGCUGUCACCAUGGGAGCACACUCAAUUCAACAUGCUCACGUUUAGAAGUCACCAGCAUUCAAGAACGUAUAGGAAAUUUUUGGAAGUAAACAAAUUUAACAGCUUUCCCUACACCACAGGUACUACACGUACCUCUGACACAUAGUUUGCCCUAUUAUUAGAACAGACUUUCUCUUCAUCUUAGUACUGCAUCAAUUCCUUUAUUCCCAGAAUCAUUCCCAAGAGCAAGAUGACAAAAAAGCUAACAGGGAAGAGAAAAGACACUGGAUGCCCAAGGCUAUAAAUGGAUACCUUAACAUAAAGCUAUUAUGCUCUGUUACAGGUCAAUUUAACAAAAGAAGUUCGCACACAGAGUUAGAUUUCUUCUUUACAUCAGAAUUUCUACAAAAUAGGAGAGAAUACAAUGCAAUACACAAGUCCAUAAAUGCAAGAUACAGUACAAUUCACACUAAUUUACAAAUGGUUAUUUACACUGUUGUAUAUACACAUACAGUCAGACCUGGUUAAUGCAAAUUUUUUUAAGUCCUUUUAAAAUGCAAAUCAAAAAGUGUCAAUGAAGGAAUUCAAAGUUAUGUGACAAAAGACCAGUUACCAUUCAGAAAUCUUUAAUGCUUCGGUGACCUAAGGAAUCAGCCAUGGAAUAGCCAGAUCUGACUGCAGAAAUGAGAAGAAAAAAAUUCACACUAUUCUGCUUUACAAAAGCAACCAGGCCACUAUGGUCUAUUGACUUGAUGCUAUUUAUGCAAGAAUGCCCUUACUAAUAACCCUCUUCAUAUUUACAAUAUAGGUUUAACUACAGUAAGGAUUAUUAAUUUCGGCAUUCAUGCCCUUAGCUUAACAUAAAGGCAACAGAGUAUCUUCUUGGCAAAUCACAGUCAAAACUAAUACAGGAUGUUUCUAGAGCUCAGUCAUUUGAAAUAUCUUAACAUUGCUAUUGAAGAGACGGAGAUAAAUUAAUUGAAACGAGUACAUGUUCUCUAGUUCGGUGCUCUAGUACCUAACUUACAUUCAGAAUGUCCUGUAUUCACAGUUUCAAGCUACCUUACGAUCUGCAACGCUAUUGCAAACUACUGCUUCAAACUUAACACAUCUGGGAGAUAUCCCUUAACAAGCAACAAUAUCCGAGUGCUACCGGCUCAUACUGAUGUGGAACAAGGCUCAAGGUAACCGGCAUUUCAUUUCGGAAAAUGUGUUACAGUACUUCCUCAGAACUUAACAAGAAUUGUUUUAAUCUGCAUUUGUCUUGAAAGAAAGCUGAUGCAAAGCAGCAUUUCAGUGUGUAAAAUGAAUUUCAACAUGCAAAAUGAAAGCCUCUACCAGUACUGCAAAGUCAACCACUGUAACCUGUGAUAAUCCUUGUGCUUCUUCGAAGUGGCUCAGGAAAAGCUUGCAGUAUUUACUAUCUGCUUCAAAGUGCUUUUAAGAGAUUCAGUGGAAAUUCAUUCCACAAGGAGAUUGAGCUGCACUCAUGAAGAGCUUUGGUUCUGCAGAAGCAAGCUUCAACUCCUACAGUUAUUGCUACUUGAGCUAUACAAACAAAAAUACUACCGAAAAAAAAAAAUCACACUAACUCCCAACCUAAAUAGUACUGGUACCUAAAAAGGGAAUGUGUUUUGCCAACUGUUGGGAAAGUUAGGAGCUGUCAAGUGUUGGAUUUCCCAGGACCAAGUGAACUUCACAGUCUUUUUCAAAUAUUUCACAAAUACAAAGCAACACUGCCAGAAAUAAAGCCACCACUUGAAGAAAAUAGUAGUUAAGAGUUCAAAUAUCUUUAUCAUACUUCCAGAGCAGAUCUUGCUGAACUUAAAGGAACUACCAAGACAGCAGGGUAUUACCCAACAUACAUCGAUAAUAUCAACAGGGAGAAAGUACAGAAAAUUAAAGUCUUCAGUGCAUUCAUGAGCUCUAGCAACAUCCUUGAAAACUGCUACAAAGAAAACUGUGCCUAUUUUAGCUAUUUGUUUGUAUUUAACUACCAAGAAAAUUUGUCCAGCAUAGUAGCCUUCAGCUAAUAAAUGCUAACAAAAAUGGUUACAGAAUUUCAAGUUACCAAAAAAAAAAAAAAAA
Molecule: long non-coding RNA, 5121 nt
Organism: Strigops habroptila (Kakapo)
Lineage: Eukaryota; Metazoa; Chordata; Aves; Psittaciformes; Psittacidae
Source: Ensembl